Molecule: non-coding RNA, 2883 nt
Organism: Vicugna pacos (alpaca)
Lineage: Eukaryota; Metazoa; Chordata; Mammalia; Artiodactyla; Camelidae
Source: RefSeq, a predicted model, not a curated record
CCCGCCCGCCCACUGCAGCCGCACCGGCAGCCCAGCAGGGCCCUGUUCUUGCCGUUCAGAUACUGGCUUGUCCUUUCGGGGGCCGCGGUGACAGAGUUGAGACUGGACAUAGAGAAGCAAAUGUCUGGGUGUAGUAAAAUAAGGAUGAGUGCACCUAUUCCUCAGAGUUUUGUAAGGACUGAUGGAUUCAUAUGUCUGACAGUGCCUAGGACAUAACACACCUGUGCCAGGUACCUGCCCGUAGCUGUAUAAGAGACUGUUACUUGGGCUCUUCUCCAUAACUGGCCAGUAACAUCAGGAUUGAAGCCCACGCGGUCACCUUGCCUUGGGGGAUACCGACUUUGCCCACAGUGCCCCGUGUAGCCUGAGAUCACCCGCAGCUCUUCUGUGAGGUGAGCAACACCAGGCACUAUUCCUCAGGCUCCUGAGCCUCGCUCAAGUCACACCUUGCUCAAAUCAGCCAAACCCUUCCGCACUGGCCUCCUCCCUUUUUCUCGGUUUCCAAGGAGCCGUGCCCUGCGCAGGCAAAAGCCUUCACUCAGCGCUCUCACCAGGACUGGCGCGCUGCGUGUGGAGCUGUCCGCCAGCGCAGCAGAGCGGAAGCGGGGCGGGCAGCGCUGUCGGGAGAGCAGGGACUUUAGCGGUGCCAGAUCCCUCCUUUCCCAGUUCCGUCUCUGCCCUAGGUCACAAGUCCCACGACAGGGCAGCUCCAGCUACACUUCUCGGAUUUAGGGGAAGCCUGCAGGCUUUUACUUCCCUCUUUUGCUUCUGACCCAAACUGGAUGUUGUAUUUUACCAUUCCCAACCACUGAAGGGUUGGGUCUGAGUCCCUUCGCCUUGAAUCUGAGUUUGCUUGUGACUGCUUUGACAAGUGGCCUGGCAGAAGUGACCCUUUGUGACUCCAAAGCUAGGUCAUAAAAAGCCAGGGAGCUUCCACCUUGUUUCCUGGAGACUUUUGUUUUCUGAUCAACACUCCCUGCUGAACUCAGCCUUGCGACCGUGCCCACCCGUGAACCUGACGUGCAAGCGAAGCCAUCUCAGACCCAUCAGACCAGCCCAUCCGCCAGCCGAAUUCCUCCAGCACGUCCAGUGUCUCUUUAGAGGAGACGGCAGCACACCUGAGACUGGAGCCGAGAGUCUCCGAAUAUCGGGAAGCAAUGGUUUUUCCAGGCCUGUGGACACUUCUUCCAAGGUUUAAGAUCCACUGUGACAGUUUUCUUGAUCCUCCCUCACAUCACUUCCUAAGCAGGGAAAAAUGAAAAGGGACCAGUUCCCAGUGACUCCCCUUGGACUUCCAGGAUCAAACAAGGACAGAUGACAACUUAAUGGAAAAGAAAUGGAGAUAAAAAUAGGAGGGUUUCUGUCAGCCUGGGUCCUGUCAUGAAGCUGAUUUCCCAGAUCCUUCCAGAAGAAAUGCUGAUAAGGAAAUGUCUGGAAAAGCCUCAAGCAGAUAAAACUCCAUUACUCCUCAGGUGCUGGGCUCUGCUGGCCUUGGACUCUGAAACCAUCCCCCUUCCUCGGAGGGCGGACCCGCGACUUGCACUUGACUCUUCAGGUGGGGGAGGGCUGGCCAUGCAACACUGAUUCCGGGCCCUCUCCUGGAUUUUCAGACUCUGGUUCCUGCACCUUGACUGCUUUUGCCUCACGGUGCUCACAGCCUGUCAUCUUUUCUUUUAUGAGAACCGGUAUGAAGUCGUAAAGAGCUGAAUCUCAACUCCGCUGGCUGUUCACUAUAUGACCUUAGGCAAGUUACUGCAUCUCCUGGUGCCCAGUUUCCUCAUCUAGCGUUUCUUUUUGUAAAUUAAGAGAGCACCAUCUCUGUCCUAGGCACUGGGCACAAUGUUGGAGCAAAAUGUUACCUCCUUAUAGGUUUGUGGUGAGGAUUAAAUAAGGCGGUUCAGUGCAACACCUAACAAGUGGUAGAAUGAGUACUCAUAGCUGUCAGCGAAUACAGUUGUUCUCACUGUUGUUAUUUCCAUGUCUGUUGGAGAAGAGCAGGGUUUGAAAGGCCCUUGGUAGCCUCUGACCCUCGGGCCAUCACAGAGAACCCUCUGUUCUUUCCACUGGGUCGGGGCUGCUGUCUUCCUAGACUUCUCUUGGGAACCACAGCCCAUUCACUCACUCGGUAUUUUAAUCAUUCAAAACAAAAAUGCACUGAGUUUCCUUUGUGCUUCAAAGAGGAAUUAGAAAGGCAGCAGCCACUAGGCUGGGUGUGUGUGUGCACAGAAGCCAUCACGAGCUGCAGCUAAGUCAAAGAUAGGAAGAAGCGAGGCUCCGGAAGGGCUGGUCAGUAGCACUCCUUCAGCGGAAGAGGAGGCAGUUUCCAGGUGGAGGUCUGAAGAGAGGCUUCAUGGAGGGGGUGCCAUCUGGGCUCGGCUUUAAAGGAGGAGGAGAUUGGUGAGUCCUGUAAAGAUGGGAGCGUGCAUGAGCUGUGAGGCCUGUUCCCAAGGCAGAGGAAACCACUUCAUCCUGAGAAGAUGAAGCCUUUGGUCUCAGGGCUGUCAGUUAAUUGUGCAGACAUUUUAAAACUUCCAUUGGGUUGCCAAUAACACUGGUGGGUCAUUUCUUGAUCACUUUUGGGUCAAAACUUCCAUUGGAUUGCCAAUGAUACUUAUGGGUCAUUUUUCACAAACAUAAUGUUGUUUGAAUUUCACCAGACUGAGUGAGUCAGACAGAGCAAGAAUUAUGUUGCCCACUUUCUGGAUGAGGCAACUGUGACUCAGAGAGGCGAAGGGAUUUGACUAUUCCACGAAGGUGGUCAGUGGGAAUGUGGUCACUGAACUCAGGUUUCUUGACUCCAAAGCCAGAGCACUUUCUCGGGCAUUCAGCUGCUACCCUCCUCCUGCUCCCCCAUCCCACCUCUCUCAGGCUGGUUAAACUGGU